GCGUAGCUCAGUUGGAAGAGCAUUGGGCUAGUAUUCCAAAGGUCGUAGGUUCGAAUCCCACCGU
Molecule: non-coding RNA, 64 nt
Organism: Paramuricea clavata
Lineage: Eukaryota; Metazoa; Cnidaria; Anthozoa; Malacalcyonacea; Plexauridae
Source: the annotation of a GenBank genome assembly